GGAUGGGCAUGCGUCGCAUUAGUUAGUUGGCGGUGUAACGGACCACCAAGACGACGAUGCGUAGGGGUUCUGAGAGGAAGGUCCCCCACACUGGUACUGAGACACGGACCAGACUCCUACGGGAGGCAGCAGUGAGGAAUAUUGGUCAAUGGCCGUAAGGCUGAACCAGCCAAGUAGCGUGAGGGAAGACUGCCCUAUGGGUUGUAAACCUCUUUUAUGCGGGGAUAAAGGUGUCCACGUGUGGAUGUUUGCAGGUACCGCAUGAAUAAGGACCGGCUAAUUCCGUGCCAGCAGCCGCGGUAAUACGGAAGGUCCGGGCGUUAUCCGGAUUUAUUGGGUUUAAAGGGAGCGUAGGCCGGUCUUUAAGCGUGCCGUGAAAUUUUGUGGCUCAACCAUGAGAGUGCGGCGCGAACUGGAGACCUUGAGUGCGCGGAAGGCAGGCGGAAUUCGUGGUGUAGCGGUGAAAUGCUUAGAUAUCACGAAGAACCCCGAUUGCGAAGGCAGCCUGCCGCAGCGUUACUGACGCUGAAGCUCGAAAGCGCGGGUAUCGAACAGGAUUAGAUACCCUGGUAGUCCGCGCGGUAAACGAUGGAUGCCCGCUGUCGGCGAUAUACAGUCGGCGGCCAAGCGAAAGCGUUAGGCAUCC
This 646-nucleotide ribosomal RNA is filed under the name uncultured bacterium. RNAcentral describes it as "bacterial SSU rRNA". It matches the Rfam family "Bacterial small subunit ribosomal RNA", at positions 223 to 869 of the family's 1533-position model. The record is from RNAcentral.